AAGACAUGCAAGUCGAACGGGAUAUUCUAGUAGCAAUACCGGGAAUAAUUUAGUGGCGAACGGGUGCGUAACACGUGGGCAAUCUGCCGAAAAGUGGGGGAUAGCUCGCCGAAAGGCGAAUUAAUACCGCAUGUGGUGAUAGAAGACAUCUUCUUGAAUCCAAAGCCGGGGCAACCUGGCGCUUUUUGAGGAGCCCGCGGCCUAUCAGCUAGUUGGUGAGGUAACGGCUCACCAAGGCUAUGACGGGUAGCUGGUCUGAGAGGACGACCAGUCACACUGGAACUGAGACACGGUCCAGACACCUACGGGUGGCAGCAGUCGAGAAUUUUUCUCAAUGGGGGAAACCCUGAAGGAGCGACGCCGCGUGGAGGAUGAAGGCUUUCGGGUUGUAAACUCCUGUCAUUUGGGAACAAGGCAUUAGUUACUGUUUUGAUGUUGAUAGUACCAGAAGAGGAAGGGACGGC
RNAcentral lists this ribosomal RNA (464 nucleotides) under grassland soil clone sl1_018. RNAcentral's name for it is "bacterial SSU rRNA". It matches the Rfam family "Bacterial small subunit ribosomal RNA", at positions 50 to 497 of the family's 1533-position model. The record is from RNAcentral.